GGUCACAUCACUUUGAAACACCGGUUCCCGUACGAUCUCCAAAAUUAAGCAACAUUGAGCCUGAUUAGUAUUUAGAGGGGGUGACCGCUUGAGAAUACCAGAUGCUGUAAG
Molecule: non-coding RNA, 111 nt
Organism: Acanthosepion pharaonis
Lineage: Eukaryota; Metazoa; Mollusca; Cephalopoda; Sepiida; Sepiidae
Source: the annotation of a GenBank genome assembly